Non-coding RNA from Elaeis guineensis (African oil palm), 1480 nucleotides. The record is from RefSeq and is a predicted model, not a curated record. Lineage: Eukaryota; Viridiplantae; Streptophyta; Magnoliopsida; Arecales; Arecaceae.
CGUACAAUUUUAUUUUUCUUUUUUUUUCAUGCCCUUUUUUCCACCGAUCGUCAAGUCCAGCUGUAGAUAUCAUCAAAGUCCACCUAAUGCCCUUCUUUCUUUCCCGACCUAUUUAUUUAUUUUCUAUUUUCGAUAGCGCGGUGGAUCCCUCGAAUCGGGCCCUUUAAAAUCCUCCGCGCAGUCCUCACCUCCUCGCGAAUCCCAGCACUAAAAACAAGCCCGAGGGGAUUUAGCGCUUCCCUCUUGUCUCUCUCUUCUCGCAUCGCUCGCCGCUCUCUCGCCAUGGAAUCCGUAGCGGCUUCUGCGAUCCCACGAGGACAGGUGGAUCUAGUCGAUUUCGUGGACUGGAGCGGAGUCGAAUGCCUUAAUCAGAGCACGAGUCACUCGCUUAUCAAUGCCGUGAAACAGGGUUAUAGGGAUGAUGAUGGUUUGCAUCUGGAGAGCGAUGCAGAUGAGCAACUUUUGAUUUAUAUUCCUUUCGCUCAAGUGAUCAAGCUGCAUUCAAUUGUUAUUAAAGGGCCGGAAGAGGAAGGCCCAAAGAUGGUUAAACUUUUCACAAACAAGGAGCACAUGGGCUUUAGUAAUGUUAGUGACUACCCACCCAGUGACUCAAUUGCUUUUACCCCAGAAAAUCUAAAGGGAAAGGCUGUUAACUUGAAGUAUGUCAAGUUUCAGAGUGUUCGCAGCUUGACAAUUUUUAUUGAGGACAACCAAGGUGGUAAUGACAUCUCUAAGGUUCAGAAGAUUGUCCUUUAUGGAACUACGCGAUUCGCAGUGUACCGUGGGAGAUUUCAUGAGUCGUAUAGGCAUAGCCUAAUACGUGGUGACAAUAAAUGCGCAUGGCCAUUGUUCUAUUAUUCUCCAAACUUUCACAUCCAACCAGUGAUCAAUGGCCCAACUUUCUUUUCCCAUAUUAAAGAAAAGAUGUUACUGUCUUUCCUUGGAUACGCUCGCAGCUUACCUAUCUCGGCUAGAUGUAGGAAUAUUGAAUAGAUGUCAAAAAAAUGUAACCUCGCUAGGUGGGGGCAGAUUGAUGACACAUUAAAUGUCGGCAGUGACGACCUUCCCUUAGAUCUACUGAUCUCGAUGGCAGGAAUCAAUUUUUCUGUCAGGGUAGUCAUUCGGAGGUCCACUUGUCUGUUCAUUCUGGUGGACACAACAAACAUGAAGGAUUUGAAGAAGAUUGAAGAGCACUAAGUGUGGGAAAUCUGAUGAGAUGUAAGCAAGGAAAACCGAUACCAAUUAUUUUUUUUCUUCCAAUGCAUUCCCUUUUAACAGAAUGAAAUCAUAGUUUAUUAGGUUCUCACAUUGCCCCCUUGAAACUUUUUAUCAUUCUCCUUGUAUUAUUACCGGUCUUAUAUUAUGGGUUCCAAUGAUCCGGAAUUUCUGUGUUUUAUCAGAUAGGAUAAUGUAUACUCUUUUUUUGGGGACAUGGUGUUAUGAGGGGUGGGGGCAUGAUCUCCAUCUCUAGAUUUGAUUU